Molecule: unclassified non-coding RNA, 214 nt
Filed under: Hevea brasiliensis (rubber tree)
Lineage: Eukaryota; Viridiplantae; Streptophyta; Magnoliopsida; Malpighiales; Euphorbiaceae
Source: RNAcentral
AGAGUCAACAAGCCAAGACCCUGUAAAAAAAUUCACAUGUUUAAAUACCAAAGCCAUAAAACAUUCACCCAAAAAAGGAGGAAACAUCAGGUAAAACGGAAGGCCGUAUAGAAUCUGGCAGUUCCUUAAUCCAAACUGACACAACACCACCUUCAAGUAGCCAUUAAUAGCCCUUUUCCUCUAUAAAUCUAUGAAAUCGAAUUGGAUUGCUUAU